CCUACGGGGGGCUGCAGUGGGGAAUAUUGGACAAUGGGCGAAAGCCUGAUCCAGCCAUGCCGCGUGUGUGAAGAAGGCCUUCGGGUUGUAAAGCACUUUCAGUGGGGAAGAAAGCCUUGGGGCUAAUACCCUCGAGGAAGGACAUCACCCACAGAAGAAGCACCGGCUAACUCCGUGCCAGCAGCCACGGUAAUACGGAGGGUGCGAGCGUUAAUCGGAAUUACUGGGCGUAAAGCGCGCGUAGGCGGUCUGAUAAGCCGGUUGUGAAAGCCCCGGGCUCAACCUGGGAACGGCAUCCGGAACUGUCAGGCUAGAGUGCAGGAGAGGAAGGUAGAAUUCCCGGUGUAGCGGUGAAAUGCGUAGAGAUCGGGAGGAAUACCAGUGGCGAAGGCGGCCUUCUGGACUGACACUGACGCUGAGGUGCGAAAGCGUGGGUAGCAAACAGGAUUAGAUACCCUAGUAGUC
This 465-nucleotide ribosomal RNA is filed under the name Vreelandella stevensii. RNAcentral's name for it is "partial 16S ribosomal RNA". It matches the Rfam family "Bacterial small subunit ribosomal RNA", at positions 338 to 795 of the family's 1533-position model. The record is from RNAcentral. Lineage: Bacteria; Pseudomonadati; Pseudomonadota; Gammaproteobacteria; Oceanospirillales; Halomonadaceae.